UCCCUAUUUAGAGCUAUGUGAAGCAACGAGACAAGGGAACGGGCUUGUUAUAGAUCAGCGGGGUAAGAAGACCCUUUUGAGCUUUACUCUAGUACAGGGGUGGUCAAACUUUUUGGAUCGCGGGCCAGUAAAUUAAUAAUAUUCUUGUCGCGGUCCGGAUGGUCGCUUUAAAAUAGUGCCGCGGGCCGGAUGGGCCAAGAGCACUCAGAUCAAAGCUACAAAGACUUUUUUUAUUUAUAAACUUUCUCGCACUAAACAACUGCCAACUUAGCAUUUUUAGCAUUAAUAGAACAUAUAUUUUAUGUUUUAUGAGUGGAUGAACUAAUUUAAGCUUUAAAAAUCAUAAAACAAUUCUAAUUUUUGCAAUGUUUUUUUUUUACAAAACCAGCGGCGGGCCGGAGUUAAAACCUCAUACGGGCCGGAUCCGGCCCGCGGGCCGUAGUUUGCCCAUCCCUGCUCUAGUAUAUUUCAAUUUGUAUAUAUUAUAUUGUAGAGAGGUGGGAGAUGUAAUGUGAAACCACUAAUAUUAAUAUUAUAUGAAUUAUUGUAAUUAUAUGGGGAGUUUGGCUGGGGCGUACAACUGUUAUAAAGAAACACAGUUGUCCUAAGAUACAAUUAAUUAGGAUAGAAACCUAAUGUUCAAUAUAAGGGUAUAAGUGUGUCUGAUGUAUAGAACAAUAGUUUUAUAUGAUGGGAAACCAUGGCGUAAAGAUCCUCCAAUAAUAGUUUUAUGUGAUUGGAGGUGACAGAAAAGUUACCACAGGGAUAACUGGCUUGUAGCAAAUGAGCGAUCAUAGCGACUUUGCUUUUGGAUUCUUCGAUGUCGUCUCUUCUGAUCAUCGUAGUGUAUAUGUUACGAAGUGUUGGAUUGUUCACCCGUUAAUGAGGUACGUGAGAUGGGUUUAGACCAGGGGUGGGCAAACUUUUCGGAUCGCGGGCCGGU
RNAcentral lists this non-coding RNA (943 nucleotides) under Nosema bombycis CQ1. Its description in RNAcentral is "Eukaryotic large subunit ribosomal RNA". It matches the Rfam family "Eukaryotic large subunit ribosomal RNA", at positions 2342 to 2983 of the family's 3401-position model. Lineage: Eukaryota; Fungi; Microsporidia; Nosematidae. The record is from Rfam by way of RNAcentral.